RNAcentral lists this small RNA (3206 nucleotides) under Pan troglodytes (chimpanzee). RNAcentral describes it as "retained intron". The record is from RNAcentral. Lineage: Eukaryota; Metazoa; Chordata; Mammalia; Primates; Hominidae.
UGAUGACUAAUCUGAAAUCAACAGCACCUCAUUUUGUGAGAUGCAUAAAUCCCAAUGUGAACAAAAUACCAGGUAUACUGGACCCUUACUUGGUUCUACAGCAGUUGCGCUGUAAUGGUGUCUUGGAAGGGAUUAGGAUAUGCCGUGAAGGUUUUCCAAACCGACUGCAGUAUGCUGAUUUUAAACAAAGGUACUGCAUUCUGAAUCCAAGGACCUUUCCAAAGAGCAAGUUUGUGAGCAGCAGAAAAGCAGCUGAAGAAUUACUUGGCUCCUUGGAGAUAGACCAUACCCAGUACCGAUUUGGAAUCACUAAGGUGUUUUUUAAAGCUGGGUUUCUGGGCCAACUGGAAGCAAUAAGAGAUGAGAGACUAUCUAAAGUCUUCACAUUGUUCCAAGCCAGAGCACAGGGCAAACUGAUGCGAAUCAAAUUCCAGAAGAUUCUGGAAGAAAGGGAUGCACUUAUUUUGAUCCAAUGGAACAUAAGAGCUUUCAUGGCUGUGAAGAACUGGCCCUGGAUGAGGCUCUUCUUCAAGAUCAAGCCUCUUGUUAAAUCUUCAGAAGUAGGAGAAGAAAUAGCUGGACUGAAGGAAGAGUGUGCACAAUUACAGAAAGCCUUGGAGAAAUCAGAGUUUCAGAGGGAGGAACUGAAAGCAAAGCAAGUAUCCCUCACUCAGGAAAAAAAUGACCUGAUUCUUCAGCUUCAGGCUGAGCAAGAGACACUGGCAAAUGUUGAAGAGCAGUGCGAGUGGCUGAUUAAAUCCAAGAUCCAGCUGGAGGCCAGAGUAAAGGAGCUGUCGGAGAGGGUGGAGGAAGAAGAGGAGAUAAAUUCUGAGCUGACUGCCAGGGGGCGGAAACUCGAAGAUGAAUGUUUUGAGUUGAAGAAAGAAAUCGAUGACCUGGAAACAAUGUUGGUGAAGUCAGAGAAGGAGAAGCGUACUACAGAGCACAAGGUCAAGAACUUGACUGAGGAAGUAGAGUUUCUAAAUGAGGAUAUCAGCAAACUUAACAGAGCAGCCAAGGUUGUGCAGGAGGCCCAUCAGCAGACCCUGGAUGACCUGCACAUGGAGGAGGAGAAGCUCAGCAGCCUGAGCAAAGCAAAUCUGAAGCUGGAACAGCAAGUUGAUGAGCUUGAGGGUGCCCUUGAGCAGGAGAGAAAAGCGAGAAUGAACUGUGAAAGGGAACUGCACAAACUGGAGGGCAAUUUAAAGCUGAAUCGGGAAAGUAUGGAGAACCUGGAAAGCAGCCAGCGACACCUGGCAGAAGAGCUGAGGAAAAAAGAAUUAGAAAUGAGUCAGAUGAAUUCAAAAGUGGAGAAUGAGAAAGGCCUGGUAGCUCAGCUUCAGAAGACGGUUAAAGAGCUUCAGACUCAAAUAAAGGAUUUGAAAGAGAAACUAGAAGCUGAAAGGACCACUCGAGCCAAGUUGGAAAGGGAGAGAGCUGACCUCACCCAAGACCUGGCUGACUUGAAUGAGAGGCUGGAGGAGGUAGGAGGAUCCAGUUUGGCUCAGCUGGAAAUAACUAAGAAACAGGAAACCAAAUUCCAGAAGCUGCGCCGAGACAUGGAAGAGGCCACUCUACACUUUGAGGCAACUUCUGCAUCUUUGAAGAAGAGACAUGCAGACAGCCUGGCUGAGCUCGAGGGCCAGGUAGAAAAUCUACAGCAGGUCAAGCAGAAACUGGAAAAAGACAAGAGUGACUUGCAGCUAGAAGUAGAUGACCUCCUGACCCGUGUUGAGCAGAUGACAAGAGCUAAGGCAAAUGCUGAGAAACUCUGUACUCUAUAUGAAGAGCGCUUGCAUGAAGCAACUGCAAAGCUAGAUAAGGUGACUCAGUUGGCAAAUGACCUGGCAGCACAAAAGACAAAGCUGUGGAGUGAGAGUGGUGAGUUCCUACGAAGGCUUGAAGAGAAGGAGGCUCUGAUAAACCAACUUUCCAGGGAAAAGAGCAACUUCACUCGGCAGAUUGAAGACCUAAGAGGGCAGCUGGAAAAGGAGACCAAAUCCCAGAGUGCCCUGGCCCAUGCCCUGCAGAAGGCUCAGCGUGACUGUGACCUUCUACGAGAGCAGUAUGAGGAAGAACAAGAGGUCAAGGCUGAGCUGCACCGGACCUUAUCCAAAGUCAAUGCUGAAAUGGUGCAAUGGAGAAUGAAGUAUGAAAACAAUGUCAUCCAGAGAACAGAAGACUUGGAGGAUGCCAAGAAGGAACUGGCAAUUAGAUUGCAGGAGGCAGCCGAAGCCAUGGGGGUGGCCAAUGCCAGAAAUGCCUCCUUGGAGAGAGCCAGGCACCAGCUGCAGCUGGAGCUCGGGGACGCCCUGUCUGACCUCGGGAAGGUCCGCUCUGCAGCAGCCAGGCUGGACCAGAAGCAGCUGCAGUCUGGCAAGGCCCUUGCCGACUGGAAGCAGAAGCACGAGGAGUCCCAGGCGUUGCUGGAUGCCUCUCAGAAGGAAAUUCAGGCUCUCAGUACAGAGCUCCUCAAGCUCAAGAACACCUAUGAGGAGAGCAUCGUGGGCCAGGAGACACUCAGGAGGGAGAACAAGAACCUCCAAGAAGAGAUUUCUAAUCUGACAAACCAGGUUAGAGAAGGGACCAAGAACUUAACUGAAAUGGAAAAGGUCAAGAAACUAAUUGAAGAAGAGAAGACAGAAGUCCAGGUGACACUGGAAGAAACAGAGGGAGCCCUGGAACGUAAUGAAAGCAAGAUUCUUCGUUUCCAGCUUGAACUCUUGGAAGCUAAAGCAGAACUUGAAAGAAAGCUUUCAGAGAAAGAUGAAGAAAUAGAAAAUUUUAGGUAUUUAAGAUGAUUUUGAUGUGUAACAAUUAUGUAUUUCUGAAUCCUUGACUAAACAGAGCUCAUUAUGUCUGGCUGCUUUUAUGGCCCCUGUUGGAGCAUUACCAAAGAAACUUAGUGUAACUCUAUAUUAUUUUCUUUUAUAUACAAUAUCUAUAAUCGUGUAUAGAUAUUCCUUUAUACACAAUUAGAUAUCCUUUUAUACACAAUUGUGUAUAGAUAUUCUUUAUACACAAUUAGAUAUCCCUUUAUACACAAUUGUGUACAGGUAUUCCUUUAUAUCAAUAGUGGUGAGCUUACUAGCUAUCUAUAUACGAUUAUUGCCAGAUUUUAUAAUUUUCUUAUAUUUGAGGAGCUUCUACUGUCAUGUGAGACUCAAGAUAACACCAAAUAAAUGAUUAUAUGUAUAAGGACUGUG